RNAcentral lists this ribosomal RNA (481 nucleotides) under uncultured bacterium. Its description in RNAcentral is "partial 16S ribosomal RNA". It matches the Rfam family "Bacterial small subunit ribosomal RNA", at positions 30 to 506 of the family's 1533-position model. The record is from RNAcentral.
AUUGAACGCUGGCGGCAUGCUUUACACAUGCAAGUCGAACGGUAACAGGCCGCAAGGUGCUGACGAGUGGCGCACGGGUGAGUAAUGCAUCGGAACGUGCCCAGUCGUGGGGGAUAACUACUCGAAAGGGUAGCUAAUACCGCAUACGAUCUAUGGAUGAAAGCGGGGGACCGUAAGGCCUCGCGCGAUUGGAGCGGCCGAUGUCAGAUUAGGUAGUUGGUGGGGUAAAGGCUCACCAAGCCAACGAUCUGUAGCUGGUCUGAGAGGACGACCAGCCACACUGGGACUGAGACACGGCCCAGACUCCUACGGGAGGCAGCAGUGGGGAAUUUUGGACAGUGGGCGCAAGCCUGAUCCAGCAAUGCCGCGUGCAGGAAGAAGGCCUUCGGGUUGUAAACUGCUUUUGUACGGAACGAAACGGCUCUGGUUAAUACCCGGGGCUAAUGACGGUACCGUAAGAAUAAGCACCGGCUAACUACGU